This 66-nucleotide transfer RNA is filed under the name Urostylis sp. HL-2012. RNAcentral's name for it is "tRNA-Asn". The record is from RNAcentral. Lineage: Eukaryota; Metazoa; Arthropoda; Insecta; Hemiptera; Urostylididae.
UUAAUUAAAGCCAAACCAGAGGCAUCUUAUUGUUAAUAAGAAUAAUGAUUUUUAUAUCUAAUUAAA